GAGGGGGCCUGAUCACCCCCCUGGGAGGGACUAGAAGGAGCGGGGACCCACAGGAGCCUGGAAUAGGCAGGCGGCGAUUGCUUGGUACACAGGUCGACGAGCGUGCUAGGGUUUAGGAAGGAAAUUUGUGAAGGUCAUUUAGGAGGUGUGUCCAUGGCGUCUCGAGGAAAAUUAUUACCAAACUAUCGCCAGGGGAUUCUUAGGAUAGGAAACUGGUCCUUGUAUGCUCGUAUUCUGCCCUCCCCCAGGAGGUGUCCUGUCUGCUGUGAAAUUCUUGACCCCCUCGGAAUUGUUGGGCUAGAAGGAGGGGGAUACAGAAGUGAGUAUGAAUUGGCUUUUCCGGAGAUGGCCUGGGACAUGAGAUAUUUAACCCAUCUGUGUUUUCAUCCGCACCUGAUCAAGCCCACCAAGGCAGAAUGGACUUUAAGGGAGAAACAGUCUCGGACCAUGUGAUGUUCUGGUUCAGCUAUGCUGACUGGCAGGUGAAGACACGCUGAUCCCCCUUCUCCCUCUGGGAUCUGGCAGGAUUUGGACGGGGAUGACCUGACCCCUCCCCCAUGCUGGAUAAUGACACGCCUGCCUCCCAGUGCUUCACCAGGACCGGAGGCCGCCUUAAUGCCCUAUCCAGGGCCAGGUGAAGUUUCUGCAACAGCCACUGCUCCUCUGCCAGCUUUCCCGGAGUUCAUAGAGCCGCCGUUUGGGCAGGCUCCAAUCCCGGUGACAGAAGCCUCUGGCCAACACUUCCAGGAUCCGGCUCCACCCGAACCGCCCAAGCUAUACCCGCCUCUCCCGGUGAGUACUGACAAGAGGGGGAGGGAGACGUUGGAAUUAAGCAGAGACCGCGCCCUGCCAGAGAGCUGGAGGGAACGAAAGAGAACAGACAAGAGACUUACAGUGCAAGCUGCUGCUCUGGGAAAGUCUAACUCGGGCCCUCCAGAAAACCUCAUCUGCCCCAGGGACAGGACAGUCCUUCAGCCGGUCCCAAGGGAGGCCCUGGGCCCGUUACAGCCAAACCAGUGUGCCCGGCGCCGAGCUUUUGGCCACUGGAAGAAGAGGAAGCUCCCGCAGUUGUGGGGCUUGCUGACCUGAAAAUUAACUAGGGCUGCCAGGGCUCAGAGAUACCAGGUCCCUGAGAGCCCAUGGUAACCGUAAAAGUGGGGGACCAAAACAUUGACUUCGUGGUGGAUACAGGAGAACUGUCGGUAGUAACAAAACCUGUGGCACCUCUGUCCACAAGACUACCGCUGUAACUGGGGUAUCGGGAGAAGAGAUGAUUAAAUCGUUUUGCCAGCCCAGAAAAUGUCAGAUGGGGGGGGGGGGGGGGGGGCGGGGCACCAAGUGAUUCAUGAAUUCCUCUACAUUCCUGAGUGCCCAGUACCCCUGUUGGGAAGAGACUUGUUCUCCAAACUAGGAGCACAAGUGACUUUCUCCCCUGAGAGAGGCCCACCUUCUGGACGGACUCUGUGACUUAUUUGCCCUCUCUCUCAAUACCAACCCAAGAUGAGUGGAGGUUGCAUGAGCCUCUGAAGGCAGAACCGGGUGGGCUAGAAGAGCAUGAGGGAGCUAACUCAAUUAUUCCCUGAGGUCUGGGUGGAAGACAACCCCUCCUCCCCCCAGGCUGGCUAAACAUCAUGCCCCAGUGAUAAUGGAACUCAAACCAGGUACCAUCCCGGUUAGAGGGUGCCAGUACCCGCUACGGAUGGAGGCCUGAACCGGCAUAUUGCCCUACAUCAAUAGAUUGAAACAAGCAGGCAUUCUGGUAGAGUGCCAGUCGGCUUGGAAUACGCCAAUCCUGCCAGUCAAAAGGGAAGGAGGACAGGACUAUAGGCCUGUACAAGAUCUCAGGCUAGUCAACCAGGCUACUGUGACUUUACACGCCACUGUUCCAAACCCCUAUACCUUACUUAGCCUCCUCCCACCGAGGACUAAAGUUUACACUUGCCUAGAUCUCAAGGAUGCCUUCUGCAUAUGCCUCGCCCCAACGUCACAACCCAUCUUUGCCUUUGAAUGGGAAGAUCCAGUGGGGAGCACCAAACAACAGCUCAUCUGGACUCCCCCACAAGGGUUUAAAAACUUCCCAGCCAUCUUUGGGGAAGCCUUGGCUUCUGAUCUGGACUCAUUCCAUCCGGAAGAGUAUGGAUGUCAGCUCCUACAAUAGGGGGAUGACCUGCUGCUGGCUGCCUGAGACCCAAGGAAAAAUGCUGGAAAGGGACAAAUGCACUGCUCCAGCUGUUGAUGGAAGGUUACCGGGUGUCGAAGAAGAAGGCACAGAUCUACAAAGAGGAGUUAAAGUUGCAGGUAUUGUCCCUUGAUUCAUCACACCAGAGCAAAGAAGGCAUACCAUGCUGACCCGGAGGACGCCGAGUGGACCACCCAGAAGGACCCCACCGACCCACGGGAAACCAAGAUCAUUCUGAGGAGGAAGAAGAAAACUAGGUCCCAGACGAGCCCUCUACAGGAUGGAGCUGGGUAAACGACUCCUGCUGCUCGGCCUCACCAAUGCAAUUCUGAACUUGGGUAUGUGGGGCUAUGCCCCUGUCAGUAAUAGACAGACUCCCCUGGUGGGUAUCGUCACUCCGUUAUGGGGACUUUAACAACAGAAAGGAACUUUCCUGUCUCUCACCAACCAUAACCUUUCUUUGCCCUCUGGUGUUAGAAGAAGCCAUCAAUGGGCCAGGGACAUAGGGUUACAUUAACAUGAAUACCAGCCUUAUGGAGAUAACAAAGGCUUAUACCUCAUAUAUGAGAAUUAAGGAGGAAAAGGGCUCCCUUACAAAAGGGGGACAGGCCUCCCGGUGCCUUGAGCAAUACUACCAGGUCUGGGAUGAAUAUUUCUGGAUGACUCCUGAGAAAGGACAGUUGAUUGCCCCUGCUACUAUUUGCUGGGAACAAAAAGAACAGAAAGUUGGAUUUGGAGACCAUCCCCUAGACCCAAAAGAAUUGUUAUUUGUGCCCUGAACAAUGUAAACAAAUCUUGGAAGUUACCUAUCACCCCAAUCAGUCUGCUCAGUGGCCCGGUUCCGACUGGAAAUAUAAUCCUGGAAUCAGCUGGGUAGCCCCCAGUGGGACCCAGUGGCUCUGUGGGCUUAACUUAUGGCCAUGGUUACCAGUUGGCUGGGUGCGGCGUUGCACAUUAGGAUUUGCUUUCGCCCAUGGCAGAAUUAAGCCUAGCCUAUACCAGCCUCCAGUAAACCUGCCUUAUCUGCAUGCAAGAUGGACACGAUCUGUGUUCCAAUGGUAUGACUAUGUUGCUGCCUUGUUGCUGCUUUGUGGGCCCUGCUUCCUACAAUGCCUCGUGAAUUUUGUAACCCAGAGGUUGAUAGCAUUCUCUCAUGUGGGUGGCAGGAGGGCUAAGGUACAAUAUAUCUCAAUAAAUGAUGCUCGUUAUGUAAACUAAGAGCAUCAAGAGGGGGUAAUGAAGAAGGAAUUCAUAGGGCCUGGACUCCAUCUCAGGCCUGUCUGUGCUGAUCGUGCGCGGCCACCUCUCCAGUGGACUCUGAACUCUCUGCUUAGUGCCUGUGGGAAUGACAAUGGAAGGAUAAGACCCCCCUCUGGGCAGGGGAAUGUUGAAGAAGAGAAAACAGACACUAAUCACCCCUGCCUCCGGACACUAUCUAUAAGAAUGUAAGCACAGGCUUAUCGGUUAUUAACUAUUUGGAAUGUAACUGCGGGCUUAUUGAUUAUUGACUGUUUGAACACAUAACACGUGAAUGAUGGGGUUAUUGUAGUUGUAUUUACCCUUCCUUUGUUUAUGUAAGUUUCAAGGUAGUGGGUUUGGACGCGUACA
Long non-coding RNA from Dama dama (fallow deer), 3787 nucleotides. RefSeq lists it as uncharacterized. The transcript has 3 exons. The record is from RefSeq and is a predicted model, not a curated record. Lineage: Eukaryota; Metazoa; Chordata; Mammalia; Artiodactyla; Cervidae.